This is a long non-coding RNA of Styela clava, 445 nucleotides long. RefSeq lists it as uncharacterized. NCBI's taxonomy places the organism in Eukaryota, Metazoa, Chordata, Ascidiacea, Stolidobranchia, Styelidae. The record is from RefSeq and is a predicted model, not a curated record.
GUCGGAGUUGACUCAAAGACCAAUCACAUCACUUUUUGCUGAAACAUACCUCAUAACACAGAUAUCAUAUGAUGGAAAAUGAGAGACUUGAAUAGAAACACUCCAGAAUAUGUAAUCCGCUAUAUAAUUGAAUAUCUAUAUUACUAUUAAUUAUAUUACUAAUGCAUGCUCUGCAUUGUCGAAGUUGACUCGAAGACCAAUGAACGCACACCACUUAUUGCUGAAAUAUACCUGAUAUUCAACAGAGAUAUCCUAUGAUGGAAAAUGAAAGAUUUGAAAAGAAACACUCAAAAACAUACAAGUAUUGCAGAUUCACCCAUGUGCUUCGAUGGAUGUUACCAGAGUUGUGGUUUUUACGACAUUUAUAAAUUAUAGAUCCUGAAUAUGCAAUAGCAAGAUUUCAUUGUUAUAAUACCUAUGAAAUCUAUAUAGUUCCUGUAGAUCC